AAACCUUCAAGCUUUGCUUGGUGUUGGGUGUUUGUCUCAGCGUUUACUCUGUAGACUCGCCUGGAAUAAAUUGGCAGCCAGUAAUUGGGUGCUAGAGUGCAGUACAUUUUGCGUUCUUGACCAUAAGCGUUGGCGUCCACAAAGCUUAUUUUAAC
This 155-nucleotide unclassified non-coding RNA is filed under the name uncultured Pleosporales. Its description in RNAcentral is "sequence contains ITS2". The record is from RNAcentral. Lineage: Eukaryota; Fungi; Ascomycota; Dothideomycetes; Pleosporales.